This 1667-nucleotide long non-coding RNA is filed under the name Marmota monax (woodchuck). The stretch from base 1158 to 1229 matches the Rfam family "tRNA". Lineage: Eukaryota; Metazoa; Chordata; Mammalia; Rodentia; Sciuridae. The record is from RNAcentral.
AUUACAUAUGGAAGUUGUGUUACAAGACUAGUUCAGUCAGUGUUUCAAAGGAUUGGUCAGAGAACAUAGGUCUUACUGAAUGUGGUGACACACACUGUAAUCCCAAUGAUAAGGGGGACUGAGGCAGGAGGAUAACCAGCUCAAGACCAGCCUCAGCAAUUUAGUGAGGACUUAAGCAACUUGAGAGUCCCUGUGUCAAAAUAAAAAGGACUUCGGUGGUAAAGCACCUCAGGGUUCUAUCCCCACUACUAAAAAUAAAGGCCCCCAACCACCAGCUCUCCAGAAAAAAACAAGGAAUUGGGGGUAAAAGUGCAAGGGCCAAAACCUGAGACCUCUGGCAAAAGACAAGACUGGGCCAGUGCCAUGAAAACUGUUUCAAACUCAAGACUCUAUUCUUUGCCAUGUCCAUCUGCAGAGAAACUAUAGCUGAGAUGGAAACACAUUCUAGCACAGAAUUUGGAACUAAAGUGGUAGACAUUUGGGAGCUCUUAAUUAUUUGUGGGAUUUUGGGGUGAGAGGGGCAAUAGGGACACUGCUAAGGCCUUAUUUUCACAUGACCAUGUGCCCCACAUGGAAGUAGACAGAGGACUGCUACAAACACUGAACACUAGAUCCCCCUAGUUUGUGAUUAUUGUAGGCUGAAUGGUUAUGCUACCCCUACCCGUUUAUGUUAUGUUGAAAUCCUGAAUUCCCAAGGCACUGAGGCAUGGCAUUUGAGCUGUGAUCAGCUUGUGAUGGUGGAACCCUCAUGAAUGGGAAUUGAUGCCCCUAUAAGAGACUGCAGAGCUAUUUGCCAUGUGAGGAGGGUGAGGAGAAAGUUGGCUGUCUGCAACCCGGAAGAGUGUCUCACUGCGCCAGCACCUUGAUCUUGGGCUUCCUGUGUCUAGAACUGUGAGAAGCUGUUUUAUAAGCCACCCUGCUCAUGGCACCUCCUUGCAGCAGCUAAGACAGUUAUUAUUUCAUCUCUGCAUUACUUCCUAACAUUUCCAAUUCCUACAUUCCAUGAAAGUGCAAUCUGUGGCUACUGAAUCCACGUUGUUAGGACCUCCUAAAUCAGACAACUAUUUUUUUGGUACUGGGGAAUGAACCCAGAGAUACUUUACCACUGAGCUAAAUCCCAAGCCCCUUUUUUAUUUUAAGAAUGGCUAUGUUGGGCUGGGGGUAUAGCUUAGUUGGUAGAGUGCUUGCCUCACAUGCAAAAGGCCCUGGGUUUAACCCUAGCACCACAAUAAAUUUAAAAAAAAAAAAAAAAAGCUACAUUGUGGCCUCGCUUAGUUGCUGAAGCUGGCCUCAAACUUGUGAUUGUCCUGAUCCUCAGUUUCCUGAGCCACUGGGAUUGCAGGCAUUUGUCACCAUACCCAGUGUCAUUCAUUUCUGUCACCAUGCAAUGUUUGCCAUCACCCAGUAUUGUUCCCCAGCAAACUACAAGGCUUGCAGGGCAGGGCAGGACCUGUGCUUACGCUGUUUACAGCAUCUCCAGGCCUGCUUGAGUCUUAUUUUCUACAGCACAUCUCUUCUGCCACUGUAGUUUUCUGAGAUGGAGCAUUUGAAUUGGGUUAUGAUACAAUGACAUUUCAUCUCAAGCCAUGAAUGUCUACCUGUGUAAUCUCUCUUUUUUUUUUUUUUACCACCAAUAUGGUUUUAUUUUUGUCAUUGUCAACAUGUAC